Molecule: ribosomal RNA, 206 nt
Filed under: uncultured bacterium
Lineage: Bacteria
Description: partial 16S ribosomal RNA
Rfam family: Bacterial small subunit ribosomal RNA
Source: RNAcentral
CAUCUAGGCGGUAUAUCAAGUCAGGGGUGAAAACUUACGGCUCAACCGUGAGCUUGCCUUUGAAACUGAGAUACUGGAGUACCGGAGAGGUGGGCGGAACUACACGAGUAGAGGUGAAAUUCGUAGAUAUGUGUAGGAAUGCCGAUGAUGAAGACAGCUCACUGGACGGCAACUGACGCUGAAGUGCGAAAGCUAGGGGAGCGAAC